CCUGGUAGCUCAGAUGGUAAAGCAGCUGCCUGUAAUGCAGGACACUCAGGUUCAAUCCCUGGGUCAGGA
This 69-nucleotide transfer RNA is filed under the name Bos taurus (domestic cattle). It matches the Rfam family "tRNA". From Rfam's summary of the family: Transfer RNA (tRNA) molecules are approximately 80 nucleotides in length. Their secondary structure includes four short double-helical elements and three loops (D, anti-codon, and T loops). Further hydrogen bonds mediate the characteristic L-shaped molecular structure. tRNAs have two regions of fundamental functional importance: the anti-codon, which is responsible for specific mRNA codon recognition, and the 3' end, to which the tRNAs corresponding amino acid is attached (by aminoacyl-tRNA synthetases). tRNAs cope with the degeneracy of the genetic code in two manners: having more than one tRNA (with a specific anti-codon) for a particular amino acid; and 'wobble' base-pairing, i.e. permitting non-standard base-pairing at the 3rd anti-codon position. The record is from Rfam by way of RNAcentral. Lineage: Eukaryota; Metazoa; Chordata; Mammalia; Artiodactyla; Bovidae. RNAcentral also lists the same sequence under 5 other names.